AGAGUUUGAUCAUGGCUCAGGAUGAACGCUAGCGGCAGGCUUAAUACAUGCAAGUCGUGGGGCAGCAUGGUGUAGCAAUACACUGAUGGCGACCGGCAAACGGGUGCGGAACACGUACGCAACCUUCCUUUAACUGGAGAAUAGCCCGGGGAAACCCGGAUUAAUACUCCGUAACAUUAUGAAGUGGCAUCACUUUAUAAUUAUAGCUCCGGCGGUUGAAGAUGGGCGUGCGUCUGAUUAGGUAGUUGGCGGGGUAACGGCCCACCAAGCCUACGAUCAGUAACUGGUGUGAGAGCACGACCAGUCACACGGGCACUGAGACACGGGCCCGACUCCUACGGGAGGCAGCAGUAAGGAAUAUUGGUCAAUGGACGCAAGUCUGAACCAGCCAUGCCGCGUGGAGGAUGAAGGUCCUCUGGAUUGUAAACUUCUUUUAUUUGGGAAGAAACCCCCGAUUUCUAUUGGGGUUGACGGUACCAGAUGAAUAAGCACCGGCUAACUCCGUGCCAGCAGCCGCGGUAAUACGGAGGGUGCAAGCGUUAUCCGGAUUCACUGUUAAAGGGUGCGUAGGCGGGUUGGUAAGUCCGUGGUGAAAUCUCCAAGCUUAACUUGGAAACUGCCGUGGAUACUAUCAAUCUUGAAUAUAGUGGAGGUGAGCGGAAUAUGUCAUGUAGCGGUGAAAUGCUUAGAUAUGACAUAGAACACCCAUUGCGAAGGCAGCUCGCUACACUAUUAUUGACGCUGAGGCACGAAAGCGUGGGGAUCAAACAGGAUUAGAUACCCUAGUAGUCC
Molecule: ribosomal RNA, 792 nt
Filed under: uncultured bacterium
Lineage: Bacteria
Description: bacterial SSU rRNA
Rfam family: Bacterial small subunit ribosomal RNA
Source: RNAcentral